AACAAGGCGUACCUGCGGACCUGCGGAGGGAUCAUUACCGAGUGUGGCCCCCUUUCUAUAUAAAAGAGGGGUACCUCCCGUCCUUUGCAGGCCCUUUUUUAAGGGGCUUUUUGACUUUGCUUCGGCGGGUUUAACCCCCCGCCGGAACACCCUCAAGAAAAUCUUUUAUAAACUUUGUUGUCUGAGUUACUUGCAAAUAAAUCAAAACUUUCAGCAAUGGAUCUCAGAUCGGAAGAGCAC
RNAcentral lists this unclassified non-coding RNA (240 nucleotides) under soil metagenome. Its description in RNAcentral is "partial contains 5.8S ribosomal RNA, internal transcribed spacer 2, and large subunit ribosomal RNA". The record is from RNAcentral.